UUGUGCUAGGCGGGGAACUAGCGGUGCCCUGUACCCGCAAUCCGCUUUAGCGGGGCUGAAUGCCCGCCCGAGGACUCGCUGCUACGGAAACUGCGAUCGCUGGAGGCGUUGAGAACCUGGUCCUGCGCGGCGAUGCCCGGCUAAUCCCGUCAGGUCCGGAAGGAAGCAGCGGUACGUCGGUCUCAUCGGGUGCCGUAGGGUCGCCGGGUUUGAGUCGACCGGCGGGAGUAAGACCGUGACACGGUUCGACGGCGGGGCACGA
This 262-nucleotide signal recognition particle RNA is filed under the name SAR202 cluster bacterium Casp-Chloro-G1. RNAcentral's name for it is "signal recognition particle sRNA large type". It matches the Rfam family "Bacterial large signal recognition particle RNA". Rfam says of the family: The signal recognition particle (SRP) is a universally conserved ribonucleoprotein involved in the co-translational targeting of proteins to membranes. The record is from RNAcentral. Lineage: Bacteria; Bacillati; Chloroflexota; Dehalococcoidia. RNAcentral also lists the same sequence under 1 other name.